Molecule: ribosomal RNA, 404 nt
Filed under: uncultured bacterium
Lineage: Bacteria
Description: bacterial SSU rRNA
Rfam family: Bacterial small subunit ribosomal RNA
Source: RNAcentral
UGAGGAAUAUUGCGCAAUGGGCGAAAGCCAGACGCAGCAACGCCGCGUGGGCGAUGAAGGUCUUCGGAUCGUAAAGCCCUUUUCCAGAGGAAGAGGAAGGACAGUACUCUGGGAAUAAGUCUCGGCUAACUACGUGCCAGCAGCCGCGGUAAAACGUAGGAGGCGAGCGUUAUCCGGAUUUAUUGGGCGUAAAGCGCGUGUAGGCGGUGCUCUAAGUUGGAUGUGAAAUCUCCUGGCCUAACUGGGAGGGGUCAUUCAAUACUGGGGCACUUGAGGGCAGGAGAGGAAAGUGGAAUUCCCGGUGUAGCGGUGGAAUGCGUAGAUAUCGGGAGGAACACCAGUGGCGAAAGCGGCUUUCUGGUCUGCAUCUGACGCUGAUACGCGAAAGCUAGGGGAGCAAACGG